Molecule: long non-coding RNA, 461 nt
Filed under: Phoenix dactylifera (date palm)
Lineage: Eukaryota; Viridiplantae; Streptophyta; Magnoliopsida; Arecales; Arecaceae
Description: long non-coding RNA (PDAC_LNC001054)
Source: RNAcentral
AGGUGGUGCCAUCUAGAUGGAUUAGUUGUUGCUUCUUCAUGGCCUCUUCAGCCUCAAGUCUUAUUAAUAUAGUAAAAGUUACCAUCAAAAGAAUGAAGCUACUUGUACCAAAAAACUAGAAUGAAGUUACUCCUAAUAUAUGGUUUUGUAUAAAUUAUGCUGUAUUUAUGUGGUGCCAUCUAGAUGGAUUAGUUGUUGCUUCUUCAUGGCCUCUUCAGCCUCAAGUCUUAUUAAUGUAGUAAAAGUUACCAUCAAAAGAAUGAAGCUACCUGUACCAAAAAACAGAAUGAAGUUACUCCUAAUAUAUGGUUUUGUAUAAAUUAUGCUGUAUUUAUGUGGUACAAUCUAGAUGGAUUAGUUGUUGCUUCUUCACGGCCUCUUCAGCCUCAAGUCUUAUUAAUGUAGUAAAACUUACCAUCAAAAGAAUGAAAGGUCUUAUAUAUAUAAGAUCUUUCUUGCCG